This 407-nucleotide ribosomal RNA is filed under the name Verrucomicrobiota bacterium. RNAcentral's name for it is "Verrucomicrobia bacterium partial 16S ribosomal RNA". It matches the Rfam family "Bacterial small subunit ribosomal RNA", at positions 355 to 776 of the family's 1533-position model. The record is from RNAcentral. Lineage: Bacteria; Pseudomonadati; Verrucomicrobiota.
UGGGGAAUAUUGGACAAUGGAGGAAACUCUGAUCCAGCAAUUCUGUGUGUGUGAAGAAGGUUUUAGGACUGUAAAACACUUCUAGUAGGGAAGAAAAAAAUGACGGUACCUACAGAAGAAGCAACGGCUAAAUACGUGCCAGCAGCCGCGGUAAUACGUAUGUUGCGAGCGUUAUCCGGAAUUAUUGGGCUUAAAGGGCAUCUAGGCGGUAAGACAAGUUGAAGGUGAAAACCUGUGGCUCAACCAUAGGCUUGCCUACAAAACUGUUGAACUAGAGUACUGGAAAGGUGGGUGGAACUACACGAGUAGAGGUGAAAUUCGUAGAUAUGUGUAGGAAUGCCGAUGAUGAAGAUAACUCACUGGACAGAAGCUGACGCUGAAGUGCGAAAGCUAGGGGAGCAAACAGG